AGAGUUUGAUCAUGGCUCAGAACGAACGCUGGCGGCGUGCUUAACACAUGCAAGUCGAACGCGAAAGUUUUCUUCGGAAGGCGAGUAGAGUGGCGCACGGGUGAGUAACGCGUAAGUAAUCUACCCCGGCAUCUGGAAUAACUCACCGAAAGGUGUGCUAAUACCGGAUACGUUGGUANCAAGAAAGGUGGCCUCUGCAUAUGCUACCGUGCUGGGAUGAGCUUGCGUACCAUUAGCUAGUUGGUAGGGUAAUGGCCUACCAAGGCAACGAUGGUUAGCGGGUCUGAGAGGAUGAUCCGCCACACUGGAACUGGAACACGGACCAGACUCCUACGGGAGGCAGCAGUGAGGAAUAUUGCGCAAUGGGGGCAACCCUGACGCAGCGACGCCGCGUGGAUGAUGAAGGCCUUCGGGUCGUAAAAUCCUGUCAGAUGGAAAGAAGUGUUAUGUGGUUAAUACCCAUGGAGCUUUCCGGUNCCA
This 480-nucleotide ribosomal RNA is filed under the name bacterium ROME1183sa. Its description in RNAcentral is "bacterial SSU rRNA". It matches the Rfam family "Bacterial small subunit ribosomal RNA", at positions 8 to 480 of the family's 1533-position model. The record is from RNAcentral.